RNAcentral lists this ribosomal RNA (465 nucleotides) under uncultured bacterium. RNAcentral describes it as "partial 16S ribosomal RNA". It matches the Rfam family "Bacterial small subunit ribosomal RNA", at positions 338 to 795 of the family's 1533-position model. The record is from RNAcentral.
CCUACGGGGGGCAGCAGUGGGGAAUAUUGCGCAAUGGGCGAAAGCCUGACGCAGCGACGCCGCGUGAGGGAUGAAGGUCUUCGGAUCGUAAACCUCUGUCAGCAGGGAAGAACGGUCACUGUGCUAAUCAGCAGUGAAUUGACGGUACCUGCAAAGGAAGCACCGGCUAACUCCGUGCCAGCAGCCGCGGUAAUACGGAGGGUGCGAGCGUUAAUCGGACUUACUGGGCGUAAAGCGCUCGUAGGCGGUAUGUCAAGUCAAGGGUGAAAUCCCCGCGCUCAACGUGGGAACUGCCUUUGAAAAGGGCAAAGGGGAGUGUGUGAGAGGACAGGGAAAUUCCAGGUGAAGGGGUGAAAUCCGAAGAUAGUUGGAGGAACAGCAGUGGCGAAGGCGACUAUCUGGCACAUAACUGACGCUGAGGAGCGAAAGCGUGGGUAGCAAACAGGAUUAGAUACCCGGGUAGUC